This 1026-nucleotide long non-coding RNA is filed under the name Chrysemys picta bellii (western painted turtle). RNAcentral's name for it is "lncRNA (ENSCPBG00000006275.1)". The record is from RNAcentral. Lineage: Eukaryota; Metazoa; Chordata; Testudines; Emydidae.
AAGGCAGAAGGCGCCUGGGAUUAUUUCAAGUUGAAGUUGCAGGAGCUGUCGGAGGCCUGUAUCCCGAGAAAGGGAAAACGGUUCGUAGGCAGGAGAUUUAGACCGAGCUGGAUGAGUGAGCGUCUCAGAGGGGUGAUUAAGAAAAAACAGAAAGCGUACAAAGAGUGGAAGAGGGGAGGGAUCAGCAAAGAAACCUACCUUAUUGAGGUCAGAGCAUGUAGAGAUGGAGUGAGAAAGGCCAAAAGCCGUGUAGAGUUGGACCUUGUGAGGGGAAUUAAAACCAAUAGUAAGAGGUUUUAUAGCCAUAUAAACAGGAAGAAAACAAAGAAAGAAGAAGUGGGACCGCUGAAGACUGUAGAUGGAGUGGAGAUUAAGGAUAAUCUAGGCAUGGCGCAAUAUCUAAACGAAUAUUUUGCAUCGGUCUUUAAUGAGGCUAAUGAAGGGUUUAGGAAUAGAGGCAGCGUGACAGAGGGGAAUAAAGGAGGGGGGAUUGACAUUACCAUAUCCAAGGUAGAAGCCAAACUCGAACAGCUUAACGGGACUAAAUCGAGCGGACCGGAUGAUCUUCAUCCGAGAAUAUUAAAGGAACUGGUGCGAGAAAUUGCAAGCCCGUUAGCGAUAAUUUUUAAUGAAUCUGUAAACUCGGGGGUGGUACCGUUGGACUGGAGAAUAGCUAAUGUGAUUCUAAUUUUCAAGAAGGGGAAAAAAAGUGACCCGGGUAACUACAGGCCUGUUAGUUUAACAUCUAUAAUAUGCAAGGUCUUGGAAAAAAUUUUGAAGGAGAAAGUAGUUAAGGACCUUGAAGUCAAUGGCAAUUGGGACAAAUUACAACAUGGUUUUACGAAAGGCAGAUCGUGCCAAACCAACCUGAUCUCCUUCUUUGAGAAAGUAACAGAUUUUUUAGAUAAGGGAAAUGUGGUGGACCUAAUAUACCUCGAUUUCAGUAAAGCGUUUGAUACGGUACCGCAUGAGGAAUUACUGGUUAAACUGGAAAAGAUGGGGAUCGAUAUGAAAAUCCAGAGGUGG